Molecule: ribosomal RNA, 394 nt
Filed under: uncultured bacterium
Lineage: Bacteria
Description: partial 16S ribosomal RNA
Rfam family: Bacterial small subunit ribosomal RNA
Source: RNAcentral
AUACGUAGGGGGCGAGCGUUGUCCGGAAUGAUUGGGCGUAAAGGGCGCGUAGGCGGCGCGGUAAGUCUGGAGUGAAAGUCCUGCUUUCAAGGUGGGAAUUGCUUUGGAUACUGCCGCGCUUGAGUGCAGGAGAGGUUAUCGGAAUUCCCGGUGUAGCGGUGACAUGCGUAGAUAUCGGGAGGAACCCCAGUGGCGAAGGCGACUACCGGGCACAAUGCUGACGCUCAUGUGCGAAAGCUAGGGUAGCGAACGGGAUUAGAUACCCCGGUAGUCCUAGCCGUAAACGAUGGAUACUAGGUGUGGGUGUCGCAGGGCAUCCGUGCCGCAGCUAACGGGUUAAGUAUCCCGCCUGGGGACUACGGUCGCAAGACUGAAACUCAAAUGAAUUGACGGG